Non-coding RNA from Mycena belliarum, 92 nucleotides. The record is from the annotation of a GenBank genome assembly. NCBI's taxonomy places the organism in Eukaryota, Fungi, Basidiomycota, Agaricomycetes, Agaricales, Mycenaceae.
GACCUUGUAGCUUAGUUGGUAAAGCGUCGUCGUGUUGUACCCUCUCCUUAACUUCGUGACGAAUAUCGUGGGUUCGAGCCCCGCCAAGGUCG